This 777-nucleotide ribosomal RNA is filed under the name uncultured Neocallimastigales. RNAcentral describes it as "partial large subunit ribosomal RNA". It matches the Rfam family "Eukaryotic large subunit ribosomal RNA", at positions 19 to 621 of the family's 3401-position model. Lineage: Eukaryota; Fungi; Neocallimastigomycota; Neocallimastigomycetes; Neocallimastigales. The record is from RNAcentral.
CGAGCACGCGCGUGUGGCAUAUCAAUAAGCGGAGGAAAAGAAACUAACAAGGAUUCCCUUAGUAACGGCGAGUGAAGCGGGAAGAGCUCAAAUUUGAAAUCUUCAAGGUUCUACCUUGACGAAUUGUAGUUUAUAGAAGUGUUUUCUGUUAGUGGAGUGGCAAAAGUUCUUUGGAAUAGGACAUCAUAGAGGGUGAGAAUCCCGUAUUUGGUCAUUCCUUCCUAGCGUUGUGAUACACUUUCAACGAGUCGGAUUGUUUGGGAAUGCAGUCCAAAAUGGGUGGUAAAUUUCAUCUAAAGCUAAAUAUUGGCGAGAGACCGAUAGCGAACAAGUACCGUGAGGGAAAGAUGAAAAGAACUUUGAAAAGAGAGUUAAACAGUACGUGAAAUUGUCAAAAGGGAAGCGUUUGACACCAGUGUUGUUUUUCCGAAAAUCAAUUACGAAUGUUUUAGUUUUUGAGGAGUUAUGACUUCAUCGGCUUGCUCCUUUCUAUAUGAAACUUUCUUAAUGCACUUUUCGGUUAACAAGUCAACAUCAAUUUCUUUUGUUGUAAAAGGGUAUGAGGAAGGUGGCUUUCUUUUCGGAGAAAGUGUUUAUAGCCUUGUGCCUCUACAAUCGGAGAGAUUGAGGUCUGCAGCGUAGAUCCUUCGGGGUUAGAUACGUUUGUGCUAAGUUAUAGCUUUUCAUAGACAACUUGUUGACUAUGUUUAGUCUUGUAGCUUACUCGCUAGACGCUAUUUUACCUACGCUUAGGAUGUUGAACUCUAUCACACACAG